Myripristis murdjan (pinecone soldierfish) is the source of this 411-nucleotide non-coding RNA. The record is from the annotation of a RefSeq genome assembly. NCBI's taxonomy places the organism in Eukaryota, Metazoa, Chordata, Actinopteri, Holocentriformes, Holocentridae.
AUGACUUUGAGCUCCAUCCUCAUCUGGACUCUCCUCUGCUGCUGCUUGACAGAGUCCAGAGGCCAGGUCACAGUGACUCAGCCUGGAGCAGUGAGCGCUGCUCUGGGAGCCUCCGUCACCAUCACAUGUAAAACCAGCCAGGAUGUUGCUGCUGUUCCUGUCAAAGAUGAUGAUGGUAAUGCUGUUAACGUAGACAUUCUAUCAUGGUACCAACAGAAAGACGGAGAAACUCCUAAAGUGCUCAUUUACGCUGCUAAUACUCGAGCACCAGGGAUCCCAGGUCGUUUUACAGGCAGUGGAUCAGGGAGUGACUUCACUCUGACCAUCAGUGGAGUCCAGGCUGAAGAUGCAGCAGUUUACUACUGUAAGAGUGCUCACGUUAUCAACAGUAAAGGAGUGUUCACACAGUGA